This is a long non-coding RNA of Glycine soja, 1394 nucleotides long. RefSeq lists it as uncharacterized. The record is from RefSeq and is a predicted model, not a curated record. NCBI's taxonomy places the organism in Eukaryota, Viridiplantae, Streptophyta, Magnoliopsida, Fabales, Fabaceae. The transcript is spliced from 5 exons.
UCCACUUCUUUGUCCAUUGUGCUUCCCGUGCCCUCGACAUCUUCCCAAAAACUCCAAGAAUGAUGAGAAGGAUUUUCCCAGAUCGAGAGAUACACCAAAAGUCCCAAACUCAUUUAGGGGAAAACCAGAUGGAGAGAACUCCACGGCAAAAAUGUUCAUAACUCUCAAAUCACGGCGCCGAAGAAGGAAUUUUCCUCUUGCUUGUAUUCAUCUUCUUUUCUGUUGAACCACAUCUACCGUAAUCAAUAGUCGGCGCCUCCAUUCAUCUUCAACCUUCCAACCAUCGUAACACCACCAAAUUCGCACGACCACCACCAUCCUAACACCACCACUUCUGCAUGCUACCACCGUUGACACCACAAUCACCCAAACACUAUCGCAACCGCGCGCUGCCACUGAAAUAAUGCCAGAUCUGUACCCUAAACCCCCUUCAUGCAGCAGAUCUAUUCCCAAACACUAUCGUAAUUUUAAUGAGAUGCAUCUUUUUUUUUUUUGCUACAUUUCCUACUUUUUUUUUGCUUUCAGCCUACUUGGACUUGCCCCGCUAGCUGAACGUGUUAGCUUCCUGACUGAUUGGAGGGCUUCUGAAUGCAGCAUGUGCAAUGCAACCAAGAUGAUCAUAGCAUGAUUAGCACUUCACCAGAACAAAGUUCAUGUUGUGAAGUUGUCCCUGCUGGGUUCCAUUCUCUCAAACCUUCUCUUGGUUCUUGGCAGGGCACUCCUCUAUGGUGGUUUAGCCAAUCUUAAGAGAGAACAAAAAUAUGACAGAGAUGUGGCAAUUGCUUAUGGAUUCAAUGCUAUUAGGUAUCAAGCAGUAGUAGAUAAUAAAGGCUCGAAGAGGUUGCAGUGUACCCAGGAAAUGUCUUGGCCUUGCACAUGUCUAAACCACAAGGAUUUAAGUACUCUAGUGGAUAGUAUAUUUUUUUGAGCUGCCCAGAUGUCUCGCCUUUUCAAUGGUAAUUCAACAUUUAACAUCAGUGCUGAUGUAAGCAAUGAUGUAGAAAUAUGUAGUUUCUAAAAUGGUGUUGACGUCAGCACCAUCUUAGAAACAACAUAUUUCCACAUCGUUCCUGACAUCAGCAUCGAUGUGGAAACGGACAUAUUCUACAUCAUUUACCAAAGGAUGAUCGACUUAGAAGAUGUAAUUUCUACAUCGGUGGUGGGCUGAGAACCGAUGUAGAAAACGUUAUAUUUCUACAACGGUGGAUUUUGGAACGAUGUUGAAACAUAACACUAACAACGAUGUCGUAUUCUACAUUGGUUGAGCACCGAUGUAGAACGUCGUUUUUGACCGAUGUAAAAAGCGCGCUUUCUAGUAGUGUUACUCAAACUAGACAAAUAUCCAUGCGUUGUGCGGAUUUGUAAAUCAUUAAAGAAAUAUUUAAAUAAAUUAU